Molecule: transfer RNA, 73 nt
Filed under: Bos taurus (domestic cattle)
Lineage: Eukaryota; Metazoa; Chordata; Mammalia; Artiodactyla; Bovidae
Also listed under: 5 other names
Rfam family: tRNA
About the family: Transfer RNA (tRNA) molecules are approximately 80 nucleotides in length. Their secondary structure includes four short double-helical elements and three loops (D, anti-codon, and T loops). Further hydrogen bonds mediate the characteristic L-shaped molecular structure. tRNAs have two regions of fundamental functional importance: the anti-codon, which is responsible for specific mRNA codon recognition, and the 3' end, to which the tRNAs corresponding amino acid is attached (by aminoacyl-tRNA synthetases). tRNAs cope with the degeneracy of the genetic code in two manners: having more than one tRNA (with a specific anti-codon) for a particular amino acid; and 'wobble' base-pairing, i.e. permitting non-standard base-pairing at the 3rd anti-codon position.
Source: Rfam by way of RNAcentral
UCCUAGGUGGCUCAAUGGUAAAAAUACUUGCCUGCCAAAGCAGGAGACUCAGGUUCAAUCCCUGGUCCAGGAA